RNAcentral lists this ribosomal RNA (436 nucleotides) under uncultured bacterium. Its description in RNAcentral is "bacterial SSU rRNA". It matches the Rfam family "Bacterial small subunit ribosomal RNA", at positions 340 to 767 of the family's 1533-position model. The record is from RNAcentral.
UACGGGAGGCAGCAGUGGGGAAUAUUGCACAAUGGGCGCAAGCCUGAUGCAGCCAUGCCGCGUGUAUGAAAAAGGCCUUCGGGUUGUAAAGUACUUUCAGUCGUGAGGAAGGUGUUAAGGUUAAUAACCUUAGCAAUUGACGUUAGCGACAGAAGAAGCACCGGCUAACUCCGUGCCAGCAGCCGCGGUAAUACGGAGGGUGCGAGCGUUAAUCGGAAUUACUGGGCGUAAAGGGCACGCAGGCGGUUAAUUAAGUCAGAUGUGAAAUCCCUGGGCUUAACCUAGGAACUGCAUUUUGAAACUGAAAUACUAGAGUAUCGUAGAGGGAGGUAGAAUUCUAGGUGUAGCGGUGAAAUGCGUAGAUAUCUGGAGGAAUACCUGUGGCGAAAGCGGCCUCCUAAACGGAUACUGACACUGAGGUGCGAAAGCGUGGGGA